Molecule: ribosomal RNA, 495 nt
Filed under: uncultured bacterium
Lineage: Bacteria
Description: partial 16S ribosomal RNA
Rfam family: Bacterial small subunit ribosomal RNA
Source: RNAcentral
GACGAACGCUGGCGGCGUGCCUAAUACAUGCAAGUAGAACGCUGAAGGAGGAGCUUGCUUCUCCGGAUGAGUUGCGAACGGGUGAGUAACGCGUAGGUAACCUGCCUGGUAGCGGGGGAUAACUAUUGGAAACGAUAGCUAAUACCGCAUAACAGUAGAUAUUGCAUGAUAUCUGCUUGAAAGGUGCAAUUGCAUCACUACCAGAUGGACCUGCGUUGUAUUAGCUAGUUGGUGAGGUAACGGCUCACCAAGGCGACGAUACAUAGCCGACCUGAGAGGGUGAUCGGCCACACUGGGACUGAGACACGGCCCAGACUCCUACGGGAGGCAGCAGUAGGGAAUCUUCGGCAAUGGACGGAAGUCUGGCCGAGCAACGCCGCGUGAGUGAAGAAGGUUUUCGGAUCGUAAAGCUCUGUUGUAAGAGAAGAACGAGUGUGAGAGUGGAAAGUUCACACUGUGACGGUAUCUUACCAGAAAGGGACGGCUAACUACGUG